CACCAACUCUCCAAGAGAGAACAAACAACAUGGCUGACAAAUGCAUGACAAGUGUAGAAAUGAUGCCUACUUUGCCAAAAAAGAAAACAUUUAGAGGAAGGCUCCGAAAAUUUUUUGGGUUCAAAUAGAAGAGCAUGGUAGCCCGUGUAUGGAACCUUGUGAAAAAAGUUACUAUUUCAGGAAGAAAGAUAUUCACUUGUGAUACCUAACUUGGACAUCAACUAACAUUCUUCAUGAUUGAACACCUCUACAAUAAAUUUUAAUUUUUCAAUCA
Saccostrea echinata is the source of this 274-nucleotide long non-coding RNA. RefSeq lists it as uncharacterized. The record is from RefSeq and is a predicted model, not a curated record. Lineage: Eukaryota; Metazoa; Mollusca; Bivalvia; Ostreida; Ostreidae. The transcript is spliced from 2 exons.